UCUGCGGCUUAAUUUGACAACGCGGGAAAACUACACCAGGUCAGGACACGGUAAGGAUUGACGGACUGAAGGCUCUUUCUCGAUUCCGUGGAAAGUGGUGCAUGGCCGUUUUUGGUUGGUGGAUCGAUCCGUCUGGUUAAUUCCGUUAACGAACGAGACCUCGGCACUCCGAAUAGCGCGGCGGACGUCGCGGCCUCCGGGCCGUCUUCCGCACGAGCUUCUUAGAGGGACCGUCCCCCGCCGGGGAAGGAGGUGCGAGGCAACGACAGGUCUGUGAUGCCCUUAGAUGUUCUGGGCCGCACGCGCAUUACACUGACGCGUCCAACGGGUGACUCCCGACCCGAAGGGGCCGGGGAAUCCGCAAGGCGCGUCGUGAUGGGGAUUGAACGUUGCAAUUGUUGUUCACGAACGAGGAAUUCCUAGUAGGCGCGGGUCAUCAACCCGCGCCGAUUACGUCCCUGCCCUUUGUACACACCGCCCU
This 481-nucleotide ribosomal RNA is filed under the name uncultured eukaryote. Its description in RNAcentral is "bacterial SSU rRNA". It matches the Rfam family "Eukaryotic small subunit ribosomal RNA", at positions 1182 to 1675 of the family's 1831-position model. The record is from RNAcentral.